UUUGGGUAACCAUUUUUCGAGAACUUCAUCCCCGUCAUUGUGUUUGUGGGACAUAAUGAGGUUUUCAUGCCUAAUGCAAAGUCCCCACCUGUCAGAGUGUGCCAAAUCCCAGAUCAUGUUUGGAAAAUCCUUUCAAAGCCCUGGUUCCGCCUGACAAACUACAUUCAGACCUUUUUAUUUUCCUUUUGCAAAUAUGUGUGACCUUUCGUCAGUUGCUUGUCUUUUGUAAGUGUCCAUCUUGCCUUUUG
This 248-nucleotide long non-coding RNA is filed under the name Lathyrus oleraceus (garden pea). RNAcentral describes it as "Pisum sativum (pea) long non-coding RNA (PSAT_LNC008313)". The record is from RNAcentral. Lineage: Eukaryota; Viridiplantae; Streptophyta; Magnoliopsida; Fabales; Fabaceae.